RNAcentral lists this ribosomal RNA (523 nucleotides) under uncultured bacterium. RNAcentral's name for it is "bacterial SSU rRNA". It matches the Rfam family "Bacterial small subunit ribosomal RNA", at positions 791 to 1320 of the family's 1533-position model. The record is from RNAcentral.
UAGUCCACGCCCUAAACGAUGCUUACUCGAUGUUUGUAUUUAUAUGAGCAUCCAAGGGAAACCGUUAAGUAAGCCACCUGGGGAGUACGUCCGCAAGAAUGAAACUCAAAGGAAUUGACGGGGGUCCGCACAAGCGGUGGAGUAUGUGGUUUAAUUCGAUGAUACGCGAAGAACCUUACCUGGGCUCUAAUUCUAUACGCCAGGUCCUUAAAGGGACUUUUUCUUCGGAACGUAUAGGAAGGUGCUGCAUGGUUGUCGUCAGCUCGUGCCGUGAGGUGUUGGGUUAAGUCCCGCAACGAGCGCAACCCCUGUCCUUAGUUGCCAUCGAGUAAAGUCGGGGACUCUAAGGAGACUGCCUGCGCAAGCAGUGAGGAAGGAGGGGACGACGUCAAAUCAUCAUGGCCUUUAUGCCCAGGGCUACACACGUACUACAAUGGUAAAGACAAAGGGUAGCUACUUGGCGACAAGAUGCCAAUCCCAAAACUUUAUCUCAGUUCGGAUUGGAGUCUGCAACUCGACUCCA